This 253-nucleotide ribosomal RNA is filed under the name uncultured bacterium. RNAcentral's name for it is "partial 16S ribosomal RNA". It matches the Rfam family "Bacterial small subunit ribosomal RNA", at positions 524 to 776 of the family's 1533-position model. The record is from RNAcentral.
UACGGAGGAUCCAAGCGUUAUCCGGAUUUAUUGGGUUUAAAGGGUGCGUAGGCGGAUUGAUAAGUUAGAGGUGAAAUGUCCGAGCUCAACUCGGGAACUGCCUCUAAUACUGUUGAUCUAGAGAGUAGAUGCGGUAGGCGGAAUGUAUGGUGUAGCGGUGAAAUGCUUAGAGAUCAUACAGAACACCGAUUGCGAAGGCAGCUUACCAAUCUAUAUCUGACGCUGAGGCACGAAAGCGUGGGGAGCAAAUAGG